GAGGGCUAAGGUGGGGCGUUAGAGAGACAGAGAGAAGAGAUAAGGGCCGGAUCAACAGGAGGAAGGUAGUGGGAGGGGGCGGUGUGAGAGGGAGAGAAGAGAUAAAAGACCCUGUUGGAGUUUCCAACCGGGAUAAAAGACCCCCUUUUGUCCCGGUUGAUAAUUUUAUCCCGGUUGCAGUUUCCAACCGAGACAAAAAACCCCCUAUCUCGGUUGGAAUUACCAACUGGGAC
This 233-nucleotide long non-coding RNA is filed under the name Setaria viridis. RNAcentral's name for it is "long non-coding RNA (SVIR_LNC004860)". Lineage: Eukaryota; Viridiplantae; Streptophyta; Magnoliopsida; Poales; Poaceae. The record is from RNAcentral.